Molecule: ribosomal RNA, 464 nt
Filed under: uncultured bacterium
Lineage: Bacteria
Description: partial 16S ribosomal RNA
Rfam family: Bacterial small subunit ribosomal RNA
Source: RNAcentral
GACGAACGCUGGCGGCGUGCUUAACACAUGCAAGUCGAACGGAAAGGCCCUGCUUUCAGGGUACUCGAGUGGCGAACGGGCGAGUAACACGCGGGUGAUCUGCCCUCCUCUUCGGGAUAAGCCUGGUCAACUGGGUCUAAUACCUGACAGGUGACAUUUUUAGCCUCAUGGUUGGAAAGUUUUUUCGGUUUUGGCUGGGCCUGCGGCCUAUCUGCUCGUUGGUUGGGUAAUGUCCUACCAAGGCGGCGACGGGUAGCCGGCCUGCGAGGGGGGACGGCCACAUUGGGACUGAGAUACGGACCAGACUCCUACGGGAGGCAGCAGUGGGGAAUAUGGCACAAUGGGCGCAAGCCUGAUGCAGCGACGCCGCGUGCGGGAUGACGGCCUUCGGGUUGUAAACACCUUUCGCUAGGGACGAAGCUUUUGUGACGGUACCUAGAUAAGAAGCACCGGCUAACUACGUG